This 441-nucleotide ribosomal RNA is filed under the name uncultured bacterium. Its description in RNAcentral is "partial 16S ribosomal RNA". It matches the Rfam family "Bacterial small subunit ribosomal RNA", at positions 338 to 795 of the family's 1533-position model. The record is from RNAcentral.
CCUACGGGUGGCAGCAGUGGGGGAUAUUGCACAAUGGGGGGAACCCUGAUGCAGCGACGCCGCGUGGGUGAAGGAGCGUUUCGGCGCGGAAAGCCCUAUCGGCAGGGAAGGAGGAGGACGGUACCUGACUAAGAAGCACCGGCUAACUCCGUGCCAGCAGCCGCGGUAAUAAGGAGGGUGCGAGCGUUUAUCGGAAUUACUGGGCGUAAAGCGCUCGUAGGCGGUAUGUCAAGUCAAGGGUGAAAUCCCCGCGCUCAACGUGGGAACUGCCUUUGAAACUGGCCAACUGGCGUGUGUGAGAGGAUAGUGGCAUUCCAGGUGUAGGAGUUGAAUCCGUAGAUAUCUGGAGGAACAUCAGUGGCGAAGGCGACUAUCUGGCACAUAACUGACGCUGAGGAGCGAAAGCGUGGGUAGCAAACAGGAUUAGAUACCCCUGUAGUC